CCGAACAAACCUCUUGCAAAAUCUCCACUGUUUCUCAGUAACCAAACAGCUUCUCUUUUCCCUCUCGCUCUCCUUUCUCGAUCUUUCUUCUUCCUCAUUUGAUCUACGAUUCGUUAGUUUCCGCCGUAAUUCGUUGAAGAUUCGACUAGAACACCUAUAAAUUUUCAUCUGCAAGCGACAAUCGAGGCGCUUAAUAUUUAUUUCCCGAAAGAACUGAAAAAGAAUUUCUGUAGAAGCCGCAGCGGAGGCAAUGGAAGAAACCUCUAACAAAGAAGAUGCUCCUGUCGCUUUUCUCGACCGCGCCUCUCGAGCAACAAGAGGAAAAAGGAUGACUAAGUUGCACGAUGAUGAAAUUGAAGAGGAUGAGCUGUUAUGGAAUCAGGAUGCUCUUAAGAGCAGGCACAUGCACUUAAAAUGGUUCUGGAAGCAAAGAACUUACCUGUCAAUGUCUAUGUUGGAAUGAGGUACUGGUACCCGUUCACAGAAGAGGCAGUGCAGCAGGUAGGUUUUAAACUUUUCACUUUAGUAACAUGGGGUACUUUUUGCCUCACGUUGAACUGCCAUGGGAUCUAUGAGCUCUUUUCCUUUUCUUUUGUUAAAUGUGGACUUAUUGACACAAUAAGAGAGACAGAAUUACAAGGCUCGUUGUGUUGCCGC
Pistacia vera is the source of this 657-nucleotide long non-coding RNA. RefSeq lists it as uncharacterized. The record is from RefSeq and is a predicted model, not a curated record. Lineage: Eukaryota; Viridiplantae; Streptophyta; Magnoliopsida; Sapindales; Anacardiaceae. The transcript is spliced from 3 exons.